Long non-coding RNA from Rhinopithecus roxellana (golden snub-nosed monkey), 763 nucleotides. RefSeq lists it as uncharacterized. The record is from RefSeq and is a predicted model, not a curated record. NCBI's taxonomy places the organism in Eukaryota, Metazoa, Chordata, Mammalia, Primates, Cercopithecidae. The transcript is spliced from 2 exons.
GGUAUAUAAUAGGUAGACAGGCUCAGAGCAUCCCAAACCCCUCCGCACCUAUCUGCUCCAGUCGCUGGUGAACCUCGUUGCAAGCCCAGCCCAGAAUGUCUCAGCAGAAGCAGAACCAGUGUGCUCCCCCGCAGCAGUGCUGCCCCCCACCCCAGCAGUGCUGCCCCCCACCAAAGCAGUGCUGCCCCCCGCCUCAACAGUGCUGUCCCCCUCCCCAGCAGUACUGCCCCCCACCCCAGCAGUGCUGCCCCCCACCUCAACAGUGCUGUCCCCCUCCCCAGCAGUGCUGCCCGCCUCCCCAGCAGACCAAGCAGCCUUGCCAGCCCCCACCCAAGUGCCAGGAGCCCUGUGCCCCCAAGUGCCCACCCCCUCAGCAGUGCCAGAAGUCCAAGCAGAAGUAAGCCCUGGGCAUGUGAUCAGAGGCGAGCCCCCAGGAAAAACAGAGCAUGAAGUUCCUUCUGGGCCAGUAUCUUACACUCCACAAGCCAAGCAAAGCCCUGCUCACCAAUGCUUCUGGAUGCAGCCACACUUCACACCUGGGGGAGAGGCAGCACCAGGCCGGCGGCUUCCUCGAGCUCUACUCUUCUUAAUUAGCAGCUGCAGUUUCCAUCUCAGACAAGGAUCUGGUUCUAAACUAUCUAAUCAUCUUUCCUGACAUGCAUCUGCAUUGCCCUGCUGGAAACAUGAGCGGCAUGCCCAGACAUCUCCUACCACGCUUCUCCUCAGCUCCUGUUUUCAAACAAUUAAAAUAGAAUUCCUCUGG